CCUACGGGAGGCAGCAGUGAGGAAUAUUGGUCAAUGGCCGCAGGGCUGAACCAGCCAAGUCGCGUGAGGGAUGACGGUCCUAUGGAUUGUAAACCUCUUUUGUCAGGGAGCAAAGGGCGCCACGUGUGGCGCUUUGCGAGUACCUGAAGAAAAAGCAACGGCUAACGCCGGGCCAGCAGCCGCGGUAAUACGGAGGAUGCGAGCGUUAUCCGGAUUUAUUGGGGUUAAAGGGUGCGCAGGCGGAAUGGCAAGUCAGCGGUAAAAUUUCGGGGCUCAAACCCGUCGUGCCGUUGAAACUGGCGUUCUUGAGUGGGCGAGAAGUAUGCGGAAUGCGUGGUGUAGCGGUGAAAUGCAUAGAUAUCACGCAGAACUCCGAUUGCGAAGGCAGCAUACCGGCGCUCAACUGACGCUCAUGCACGAAAGCGUGGGUAUCGAACAGGAUUAGAUACCCUAGUAGUC
Molecule: ribosomal RNA, 459 nt
Filed under: uncultured bacterium
Lineage: Bacteria
Description: partial 16S ribosomal RNA
Rfam family: Bacterial small subunit ribosomal RNA
Source: RNAcentral